This 133-nucleotide small nuclear RNA is filed under the name Dicentrarchus labrax (European seabass). Its description in RNAcentral is "U1 spliceosomal RNA (ENSDLAG00005027776.1)". Lineage: Eukaryota; Metazoa; Chordata; Actinopteri; Moronidae. The record is from RNAcentral.
AAAAAAAAAAGGGGAAAAUUUUUUUGAGAGAAAAAAUUUUUACCACCCUUUGGUUUUUGCGAACUCCCCCAAAUGUGGGAAUCUCGACUGCAUAAUUUGUGGUAGUGGGGGACUGCGUUCGCGCUGACCCCUG